GGCAUGCGCWGCUACCAUGCAGUCGAGCGGCACACGGGUACUUGUACCUGGUGGCGAGCGGCGGACRGGUGAGUAAUGCCUAGGAAUCUGCCUAGUAGUGGGGGAUAACSUCUAGAAACGGGCGCUAAUACCGCAUACGUCCUACGGGAGAAAGUGGGGGAUCUUCGGACCUCACGCUAUUAGAUGAGCCUAGGUCGGAUUAGCUAGUUGGUGAGGUAAUGGCUCACCAAGGCUACGAUCCGUAACUGGUCUGAGAGGAUGAUCAGUCACACUGGAACUGAGACACGGUCCAGACUCCUACGGGAGGCAGCAGUGGGGAAUAUUGGACAAUGGGCGAAAGCCUGAUCCAGCCAUGCCGCGUGUGUGAAGAAGGUCUUCGGAUUGUAAAGCACUUUAAGUUGGGAGGAAGGGCAGUUACCUAAUACGUGAUUGUUUUGACGUUACCGACAGAAUAAGCACCGGCUAACUCUGUGCCAGCAGCCGCGGUAAUACAGAGGGUGCAAGCGUUAAUCGGAAUUACUGGGCGUAAAGCGCGCGUAGGUGGUUUGUUAAGUUGAAUGUGAAAGCCCCGGGCUCAACCUGGGAACUGCAUCCAAAACUGGCAAGCUAGAGUAUGGUAGAGGGUGGUGGAAUUUCCUGUGUAGCGGUGAAAUGCGUAGAUAUAGGAAGGAACACCAGUGGCGAAGGCGACCACCUGGACUGAUACUGACACUGAGGUGCGAAAGCGUGUGGAGCACACAGGAUUAGAUACCCUGGUAGUCCACGCCGUACACGAUGUCAACUAGCCGUUGGGAGCCUUGAGCUCUUAGUGGCGCAGCUAACGCAUUAAGUUGACCGCCUGCGGAGUACGGCCGCAACGUUAAGACUCAAAUGAAUUGACGGGGGCCCGCACAAGCCGGUGGAGCAUGUGGUUUAAUUCUAAGCAACGCGAAGACCCUUACCAGGCCCUGACAUCCAAUGAACUUUCUAGCGCCCCGAUUGAUGCCUUCGGGCACAUUGAAACAAGUGGCUGCAUGGCUGUUCUUCCGCUCCUGCCCCGAAAAGUU
This 1046-nucleotide ribosomal RNA is filed under the name Pseudomonas fluorescens. RNAcentral's name for it is "bacterial SSU rRNA". It matches the Rfam family "Bacterial small subunit ribosomal RNA", at positions 41 to 1076 of the family's 1533-position model. Lineage: Bacteria; Pseudomonadati; Pseudomonadota; Gammaproteobacteria; Pseudomonadales; Pseudomonadaceae. The record is from RNAcentral.